This 485-nucleotide ribosomal RNA is filed under the name uncultured bacterium. RNAcentral describes it as "bacterial SSU rRNA". It matches the Rfam family "Bacterial small subunit ribosomal RNA", at positions 1 to 536 of the family's 1533-position model. The record is from RNAcentral.
UAGAGUUUGAUCAUGGCUCAGAACGAACGCUGGCGGCAGGCCUAACACAUGCAAGUCGAACGGGCGUAGCAAUACGGAGUGGCAGACGGGUGAGUAACGCGUGGGAACGUACCUUUUGGUUCGGAACAACACAGGGAAACUUGUGCUAAUACCGGAUAAGCCCUUACGGGGAAAGAUUUAUCGCCGAAAGACCGGCCCGCGUCUGAUUAGCUAGUUGGUGAGGUAACGGCUCACCAAGGCGACGAUCAGUAGCUGGUCUGAGAGGAAGAUCAGCCACACUGGGACUGAGACACGGCCCAGACUCCUACGGGAGGCAGCAGUGGGGAAUAUUGGACAAUGGGCGCAAGCCUGAUCCAGCCAUGCCGCGUGAGUGAUGAAGGCCUUAGGGUUGUAAAGCUCUUUUACCAGGGAAGAUAAUGACGGUACCUGGAGAAUAAGCCCCGGCUAACUUCGUGCCAGCAGCCGCGGUAAUGCGACGUCGGGCC